This 341-nucleotide unclassified non-coding RNA is filed under the name soil metagenome. Its description in RNAcentral is "partial contains 5.8S ribosomal RNA, internal transcribed spacer 2, and large subunit ribosomal RNA". The stretch from base 1 to 120 matches the Rfam family "5.8S ribosomal RNA", at positions 35 to 154 of the family's 154-position model. The record is from RNAcentral.
GAUGAAGAACGCAGCGAAAUGCGAUAAGUAGUGUGAAUUGCAGAAUUCAGUGAAUCAUCGAAUCUUUGAACGCACAUUGCGGCCAUAGGUAUUCCUUUGGCCAUGCCUGUUCGAGCGUCAUUUACACCCUCAAGCCUAGCUUGGUGUUGGGCGUCUGUCCCGCCGUUUUCGCGCGCGGACUCGCCUCAAAGUCAUUGGCGGCGGUCGUGCCGGCCCCCUCGCGCAGCACAUUUGCGCUUCUCGGAGGCCCGGCGGAUCCGCGCUCCAGCAAGACCUUUCACGACUUGACCUCGGAUCAGGUAGGGAUACCCGCUGAACUUAAGCAUAUCAAUAAGCGGAGG